RNAcentral lists this ribosomal RNA (203 nucleotides) under uncultured bacterium. RNAcentral's name for it is "partial 16S ribosomal RNA". It matches the Rfam family "Bacterial small subunit ribosomal RNA", at positions 1299 to 1500 of the family's 1533-position model. The record is from RNAcentral.
CGCAGGCUGAAACUCGCCUGCGUGAAGUUGGAAUUGCUAGUAAUCGCGGAUCAGCAUGCCGCGGUGAAUACGUUCCCGGGCCUUGUACACACCGCCCGUCACACCAUGGGAGCCGGUAAUACCCGAAGCCAGUAGUCUAACCGCAAGGGGGGACGCUGUCGAAGGUAGGAUUGGCGACUGGGGUGAAGUCGUAACAAGGUAAC